AUUAUCUUGGCAGAUUAAGUGCAUUAAAUUUAGAAUUUAAUUAUAUAAUUAUAUAAUUUAUAGAUAAUA
This 69-nucleotide transfer RNA is filed under the name Osmia pedicornis. RNAcentral's name for it is "tRNA-Leu". The record is from RNAcentral. Lineage: Eukaryota; Metazoa; Arthropoda; Insecta; Hymenoptera; Megachilidae.